Molecule: ribosomal RNA, 355 nt
Filed under: uncultured bacterium
Lineage: Bacteria
Description: bacterial SSU rRNA
Rfam family: Bacterial small subunit ribosomal RNA
Source: RNAcentral
GACGAACGCUGGCGGCAUGCCUAACACAUGCAAGUCUAGGGUGUAGCAAUACACACUGGCGCACGGGUGAGUAACGCGUAGAUCAUCUGCCCCUAUCACCGACAUAACUCUUGGAAACGGGAGCUAAUAUCGGAUGAGGUGAGCAAUCAUCAAAGUUUCGACGGAUAGGGAUGAGUCUGCGUCUGAUUAGGUAGUUGGUGAGGUAAUGGCUCACCAAGCCUACGAUCAGUAGCUGGUCUGAGAGGACGAACAGCCACACUGGAACUGAGACACGGUCCAGACUCCUACGGGAGGCAGCAGUGAGGAAUAUUGGACAAUGGGAGCAAUCCUGGAUCCAGCAAUGCCGCGUGUGGGA